This is a small nuclear RNA of Bactrocera oleae (olive fruit fly), 89 nucleotides long. NCBI's taxonomy places the organism in Eukaryota, Metazoa, Arthropoda, Insecta, Diptera, Tephritidae. The record is from RefSeq and is a predicted model, not a curated record.
CUAGCUUCAGCUACAUAUACUAACAUUGGAACGUUACAGAGAAGAUUAGCAUGGAUGACACGCAAAAUCGUAAAGCAUUCCACAUUUUU